This 293-nucleotide unclassified non-coding RNA is filed under the name Hevea brasiliensis (rubber tree). The record is from RNAcentral. Lineage: Eukaryota; Viridiplantae; Streptophyta; Magnoliopsida; Malpighiales; Euphorbiaceae.
CACGACAUGCAUGAGAUUGGUAAGGAACCAACGCUAAACGGAACUUAAUUGAAAAUUUGAACAUCUAAGAUCGGGAUCUUCAUUAAACCGGAUUGGAACCUUAGCUUGAUUAUUCCUAAACUUUUUAAAAGAGGGGUCGAUCAUAAAUAUUGGCGGCAAGGUUCUAGUGUUAGUUCAAUUUCGUCUGACAAGAGUGAUCGGGAAUGUAGUUAACUGGUCAGGAUAUUUGACAAUUGGCUUGAGAGAUCAGUGAAUGAUCUGAGAGACCGGUAAGGCUUUAACGGAUACAAGAG